Molecule: long non-coding RNA, 339 nt
Organism: Hydra vulgaris (swiftwater hydra)
Lineage: Eukaryota; Metazoa; Cnidaria; Hydrozoa; Anthoathecata; Hydridae
Source: RefSeq, a predicted model, not a curated record
ACUAUCAGUAAUAUUUAUUAAAUAACUUUUAGGAUAAGCUAUGGCAAGAAGAUAAAGAUGCCAAUGAAUGUCAACUUUGCAUACAGCAGUUUUCACUAUCUAAACGAAAACACCAUUGUCGAAACUGUGGUGGGAUAUUCUGUCAUUCAUGCUCGGACAAUACUCUUGCUCUAAAGUCCUCUGCAAAACCUGUGCGUGUUUGUGAUACAUGCUAUGAAGCACUACUUUCCAGAUGCACUCCGAAACCUAACUGAAAUUCAUUCUUUAAGACCUCCUAAUCCCAGCAACUUUAAAAAACCUUGAUAAAUGUAUAUGUGAUUGUAAUGUGAAUGUAAAUGA